Anguilla rostrata (American eel) is the source of this 2477-nucleotide RNA transcript. It is a transcript of the gene named zinc finger protein Gfi-1-like, with no coding region annotated. The transcript has 5 exons. Lineage: Eukaryota; Metazoa; Chordata; Actinopteri; Anguilliformes; Anguillidae. The record is from RefSeq and is a predicted model, not a curated record.
UGAUAGUAUCAAGCAGACAUCCGAUCUACACUAAGCGUAGGUGUACAGAAGAUCUCAUCAACGCAACGGAAAAGGAAUGAAGUGCUUAUUAUUGUCGGCUGAAAACGAGGCGCACACAAUAUGAUGCGUUUCAUUUUGAGUGUUUACGGUACAGUAUCAAUUUCGUCAUCGCUGUUAGUUCAGCAACCCGGAAGUAAUUGUGGGUCUUGUGAAUGGCCAAAUGUCUGUAUUAGUUUUGUCUCUUCGUUUCCGUAAAUAGCGUUUUCAGCCAAACAAAGAAGCAACUUUGUCUCCGAAGAUAUCGGGCGAAGCGAGUAUACAUUGACCAGGAAAAAUGUCAAAUUGCCUAGCUUUUCAUACACAGAUAGCCUCCAUUAUGGAGGUUUUGGCGAAUGCGGCCGUGGCAGAGAUCUGCCAAGUUGUGGACGAUGGAUACGCGGUUCUGCGCCUGGAAAUGUCCCAAUAUCAGAAGGAGAACAAGGCUCUGAAGCGCAAGCUGCAGGUGAUCGAGCGGCAGACCGCGCGCCGAUGCGCAGAGAGGGGAGGGUCGCGAGCGAGCUUUGUAGACGGGGCGCAAGUUUGCCGUAAAUUAAGAGAAACACCGAGGGCGCUUCCAGCGAAGGGGCAGUUCCCAGCUGUAGAGAGAGCCUUGGAUAACCGGAUAGAUGUCAGUCUAAAAAGAGACGAGCAGCACAUUGUUCUGGAUGAAGAGGAUGCUCCGGCGGUGUCCACGGGCAGGAGCGACGGGGUCACCUCGCAUCAAAAUGCCUCGAGCACAGCGUGUGCAGUUAUGGAGGAGGGAAGGACUGAAGCACUUCUGAUAAAGGAGGAGAGACUCAAAGAGAAUCUGGGGAACCCCGACUGUCCAAGGGAGCUGAGGAACAGGGACGAGAGGGCGGUGGAAUCGGAGGCUCGGAGCAAGGGAAGCCCCCCCUCUGCAGAAUCACGGACCGCCUCGGCAAAACAAGAGCAGCUCCCUGAACAGCUGGCCGAAGACAAGCGCAGCGUUUGGGAGGUGAGCGCGCUCGGGUCCGGCCCGGAGGCAGACGCGGAGCGAGAAAGAGCAAAGAGCCAUCAGCACCCGGGGCCUGGAUCCAGAGCACGAAAGCCGAGCAGCCUGGACUCUGAGUUUGUCAUGUUCGAAAGACCAGGCCAGCUGGGCUCUUACUGUACACAAGGGGGCGCUGUCGCGGAGACGGAGGAUCCGUGUUGCUCUUACUCUACAGGAACGGGACAGGGCCUGUCCUAUCACGCAGAGAUGAGGCCCUUUUUGGGUACAGAGGAGGGUGGAGGGAACGGCCUGUCCCCUUUGGGGUCUCUGGACUGGAAGCCGGACAUCAUGGUGGUCGACCCGACGCCAGUCAAGCUGGAGCCCGAGGUGCCGUCUGCGUGGAACGCGGGGCCCGUUUUGGGACUGGGCGACGCGCCACCACGGCCUUUCGAAGAAAUUGGGGAGAGGGGAGAGAUGCUGCCGGACAGCGCGCCCAACCUCUGCCUUCCGCCCGUCCUAACGACGGCGGGGGAGAAGGCCGCGGCGUCCAAGUACAUCUCUACGGAAACCGAGACGCACCGCAGAGCCGGCGCCGGGGAGAAACGCCUGUUCUACUCGUACUUCGAGAGAGGAUUCGCGCGCGCGAGAGACAGCGAGGCGCUCCCGGGCGUCGACCCGGAGGAGAGACAGUUCAGCUGCACACAGUGCGGAAAGCAUUUCGCUCAUUCGGCUAACCUGAAGAGACACCAGCGCGUGCACACGGGGGAGAAACCGUACAGCUGCACGCAGUGCGAGAAGCGCUUCUCCCACCAGCACCAACUUAAAAUGCACCAGAGGGUCCACACGGGAGAGAGGCCCUUCAACUGCACCCACUGCGGAAAGAGAUUCACUCAGUCCAGUCACAUUAAACGACAUCUGCUCGUUCACACUGGAGAGAUGAUGUAGAUGCGCUUGUAUUUGCAGAAGGUGAUUUUCUGAGUUCUGUAAUCUUGCGGGACGCCAGAGUUUUCCCACGACAAAGUACAAAGAAUGAGUGUUUUUAUUCUUCAGGUGAUCUUCAUAGAAAUGACUGUUCGUUCCGGAGAAAGCCAAAGCCAUUUACUUGCACUAUGAAGGAACUGUGUUUUAUUUGGGCGGCGCAUAUGCCCAGUUUUGUGUAGUCUCUUGAGGAGUGGGCUUACACGCAUUUAUAAUGCCGUUUUAUCAGCGUUAUCCCUGAGCACACAUGAUAACUCGGACUGUGUUUCGCAGAAACCCUGUUGAGAGCUCGUGAGGCAUUUGUAUUGUGGGAAAUUUUAUAUUUUAUAUUUACAGGCUGGAGUAUGAAGCAGAAAAGGAUUUUGGUGUGGUUAUACGUUUCUGUCUGAGGUGCCUGAUUAAAAAAAAGUCGGAUAGCACCCCAAGUGGGCAAAGUCUCUUGGACACAGGCCUUUUAAGCGACGGAGAGCCCACAGCUGAAGACCAGGACGUAUUGAUUGGGAACUCG